CUGACAGUAAAAGUAGUUUCUUAUGAGGCAUAACUGAAUGCCACGUCAAGCUUUUUAACUUUCCGGCGUGUUUGGGGUUACCGUACCACUUUUGAAUACUUCAUAACAAGCCUUUUGUCCCUGGAAUAAACCGCGGAGAAGCUGACAAGUUUUUUUUUUUAAUGAUAUUAUAUAUAUAUAUAUAUAUAUAUAUAUAUAUACACGUGGAACUACGACGCAGUACGUACUUGCUACAUCAUCGCCAAAAGACAAUUGCAACCAGACCCUGCCAAAAUCCAAGCCAUCGUUAACUGGCCCACUCCCACCAACCGCAGAACUACAAGGUUUCCUUGGAUUCGUCAACUUCUACCGUCGCUUCAUCCGCAAUUACAGUAACGUUGCAAUCCCUCUCACUAGCCUUACAUCCACCAGCUCUCCAUUUCAAUGGACCCCGGCAGCAUCCCAAGGCUUUGACGAACUUAAGACCCUUUUCACCAGUGCUCCCAUCCUCCGACAUCCCGACUCAUCCCUCCAGUUCGUGGUGGAGAUUGACGCCUCGGACACUGGGGCAGGGGUUGUUCUCUCACAGCGGGACCCCUCUUCCCAAAAACUUCAUCCCUGUGCUUUCUUUUCCCAUCGUCUAUCUCCCGCCGAACGAAACUAUGACGUUGCCAACCGUGAGCUGUUGGCCAUCAUCUGGGCAUUAGAAGCGUGGAGGCACUGGCUGGAGGCGACUGAGUUCAUUCAGUUCAUUAUCUGGACUGAUUACAAAAAUAUUGCCUACCUCCGUCCGCCAAACACCUUAACCCCCAACAAGCUCAUUGGGCCCUCUUCUUGAGCCGCUUUAAUUUCAGCCUCUCCUUCCGACCUGGAUCCCGCAACAGCAAGCCUGACACCCCGUCUCGGGUGUACUCACCCCCCUGCUCUGUCUGUGCCUGAGGGAAGUCUUCACACCUGCUCUGUCUGUGCCUGAGGGAAGUCUUCACACCUUCCCCCCGCUGGUCUGCUGCUGCGUCCCUUGCCCAUCCCGAACCGCCCUUCGUCCCACAUCGCUCUGGACUUCGUUACCGGCCUACCCCUCUGUGAAGAAUCCCCAUCGAUGUCGUCUCUGACCGAGGUCCUCAGUUCUCCUCCCUUGUCUGGAAGGAAUACUGUAAAGCGGUGGGCGCAGCAGCCAGCUUGUCUUCGGGAUACCAUCCACAGACCAAGGGCCAGACGGAGCGGGCCAAUCAAUCCCUAGAAUCGGCCCUUCGCUGCGUUGCCGCACGCAACCCCUCCUCCUGGAGCUCAUUCCUCCCGUGAAUUGAGUACACCUACAACUCCCUCACCAGCUGCGCUACCGGUAUGUCCCCGUUCAUGGCUUGCUAUGGCUUCCAACCUCCAUUAUUUAGGGAACAAGAGCAGGCGGUGGGGGUUCCCGCGGUAAAGGAUCACCUCAAAAGGGUUCAGGCAGUGUGGAAAGACGUCCGGGCGGCCUUAACCCGGUCUUCUGAGAAGAACAAAGGGCUCGCGGACCUUCAUCGCUCUCCUACGCCUCAGUACAAGUCAUUAGCACCUCCUCGGCCGCGUACCUGUCACCCAUCAGCCUUCAUCAUCAUCUGCGUUUAAGCCUGCCAGUUCCAAGACUCCACUGCCAGAGUAUUAACAUUCUCCUGUGUGCUCCCUAGGUGUUCCCCGCCGAGUUGACUUCUUCCACCACGCCACCAAACCAUCCGCCUGUUCUCCCCACUGCCUGCCACACGUAACCUGCCUCUACUACCCGCCAGCACGUCUCAAGGAUCAUCUCCAUUUCCUCUUUAGAUAAACCUUUCAUCACAACAUCUCAGCCUCCACCUGCUUCUGGGUCCAGUCAAAAAACAAAUCGUGACAAACACAGUCCCUUGUGGCGUAAACAAAACAUCCUGGUUGCUAGGCUAACACUGAAAUGCUGCUUCCGCUAUUUAAACGGACAUAGCUAUACUAAAUGUUAACCGAUUACCAAAAUCUAUACACCAUUGGAAAGUAUUUUUAAUUCCUUUUUAAAAAAUGUACAAAGCUCAAAACGUGCUUUCGUGCUGGAGGAUCACAUACCAUCAAAAGAUUUGGAGAAUCUGGAGAAAUCUCUGCACGUAAGCAGCAGCAAGGCCGAAAACCAACAUUAAAAGCCUGUGACCUUUGAUCCCUCCGGCGGCACUGCAUUAACAAACAGCAUCAUUGUAUCAAGGAUAUUGCCACGUGGGCUCAGGAACACUUCAGAAAUCAAAUCAAACUCAAAAUGAGUGAAUAUUUGCAAAAUAUUUAUCAGUUUGAACAUUUAAUGUCUUAUCUUUUUAGUGUAUUCAGUCAAAUAGAGGUCAAAAAGGAUUUGCAAAUCAUUGUGUUCUGUUUUUAUUUAAGUUUUACACAACGUCCCAACUUCACUGGAAUUUUCACUCCAACCACUCAUCCACACAAAUACAUACAUGUGCACACACAUCACAGUUAAAAAUCAAGAUGAUAAUAAUGAUCACUGGCUGGGCACUGAGAAACCAAGUGGGAAACGCCAUCUCACAGAACCGUCUGCACCCAGAGGACACCAGCAUGGAGACCCAGUGUAGUGGCGCGAAGGGAGCCACAUUGGAUGACUGAGGACCCCAUGAAGCAGAACCAUGGGCAA
Long non-coding RNA from Phyllopteryx taeniolatus (common seadragon), 2614 nucleotides. RefSeq lists it as uncharacterized. The record is from RefSeq and is a predicted model, not a curated record. The transcript is spliced from 5 exons. NCBI's taxonomy places the organism in Eukaryota, Metazoa, Chordata, Actinopteri, Syngnathiformes, Syngnathidae.